GGUCUCGUAGUGUAGUGGUUAACACGCCUGCCUGUCACGCAGGAGAUCGCGGGUUCGAUUCCCGUCGAGACCG
RNAcentral lists this transfer RNA (73 nucleotides) under Staphylococcus aureus. RNAcentral describes it as "tRNA-Asp". It matches the Rfam family "tRNA". From Rfam's summary of the family: Transfer RNA (tRNA) molecules are approximately 80 nucleotides in length. Their secondary structure includes four short double-helical elements and three loops (D, anti-codon, and T loops). The record is from RNAcentral. Lineage: Bacteria; Bacillati; Bacillota; Bacilli; Caryophanales; Staphylococcaceae.